Molecule: transfer RNA, 74 nt
Filed under: Gehyra xenopus
Lineage: Eukaryota; Metazoa; Chordata; Lepidosauria; Squamata; Gekkonidae
Description: tRNA-Tyr
Source: RNAcentral
GGUAUUAUGGCCGAAGUCCAGGCGGCGAGCUGUAGACUCGCAGAAGGGCCCAAGAUGGGAGGGCCCUGCUACCA